AUGGUUCUGGGAGUUUGCGUCUUGGCCCUGAAGUGCCGCCUGCGGCCAGGACAGAGCCGGGUGGAGCCUCCACUGAGGAUACAGCAGGAAGUUGUGACUGAAAACAGGAAUAGCCAGUAUUCAUGGAUGUCCCAGUUGAGGAGUCACAGCCACGACGUUCCUCUGGCCCUCGCCCUGGCUGACAGCCUGCUGCUGUGUGUGCUUCAGGAGCCCCUGUUGGACCCCAGCGUGCCCCACAUAAAGGCCCUCCUCGCCAGACUGGAGUCAGUGUCUCACACACUUGAGAAGGCUGAUGCUGGGUCAGAGGGGACAUUGGAGGAGACGGACCGAGACUCUCAACUGACAGACAAAGUGAAGCUCAUCCGUAACUUCGUGCAGCAGAGGUGA
RNAcentral lists this long non-coding RNA (387 nucleotides) under Dicentrarchus labrax (European seabass). Its description in RNAcentral is "lncRNA (ENSDLAG00005027783.1)". The record is from RNAcentral. Lineage: Eukaryota; Metazoa; Chordata; Actinopteri; Moronidae.